Molecule: long non-coding RNA, 8721 nt
Filed under: Ricinus communis (castor bean)
Lineage: Eukaryota; Viridiplantae; Streptophyta; Magnoliopsida; Malpighiales; Euphorbiaceae
Description: long non-coding RNA (RCOM_LNC000052)
Source: RNAcentral
GUUAAGCUGUCCAGUUAACCGACUUAGAGUCAGUCAACCGCCUUUGUUGCUUGAAAUAAAUCCUACCCGUCCUUCCAUCAUUCACUAUUUAAUCUCAGCGUUCCAUCCUCUCUACAUAGACAAAUCAGUCCAAUUGCUACUCGCUAUACGACUGUAAUAGUGAUUACUCGUUGGGUAACGUUGUUUUCAUGACGGUGCUUUUGUGUUUUGACCUGGUUUUUUAAGUAACAGAUCUCUUAUUGAAUCUCAUUGUUUGGUUUUGAGAGUUGCUUGUAUGGCUAAAGAUUGAGAUAUUGGUUUUCUUGUGUCUCGCUGUAUAUUUCUUCCUCAGGUUUUGACGCUUAAUAACUCUUAAAUUUUUUUGCCCCUAGAAGUAUUGAAGUAAUCGAUUCUCUUUAACCUUUUCCAUUACACUUCGUUUUAACAAUUGCUUCUGCUCCGAAAAGAUUGGAUUCGGUUUUCUGAAGUCCACAUUCUUUGAUUUAAUGAUUCUGAAUUCAUUGGGUUUUGUUGGCUGUCUGGGCUUUUCCGGGUUUUAUCAUCAUAUUGAGCAACAUGUGGCUAAAAAUAUUGACCAAGGUCAGGACUUUUGCGUCCUUUACAAGGAUCAUUCCUUGAUUCGGUUCGGUUUUAUUAGACAGUCAGAAUAAUGAGGGGAUUGUUAAUUUACGUUUCUUGAUUUUACUGAAAAAUGUGUUUUCCUGAAUCUCAUUGUUUGGUUUUGAGAGUUGCUUGUAUGGCUAAAAAUUGAGAUAUUGGUUUUCUUGUGUCUCGCUGUAUAUUUCUUCCUCAGGUUUUGACGCUUAAUAACUCUUAAACUUUUUUGCCCCUAGAAAUAUUGAAGUAAUCGAUUCUCUUUAACCUUUUCCAUUACACUUCGUUUUAACAAUUGCUUCUGCUCCGAAAAGAUUGGAUUCGGUUUUCUGAAGUCCACAUUCUUUGAUUUAAUGAUUCUGAAUUCAUUGGGUUUUGUUGGCUGUCUGGGCUUUUUCCGGGUUUUAUCAUCAUAUUGAGCAACCNNNNNNNNNNNNNNNNNNNNNNNNNNNNNNNNNNNNNNNNNNNNNNNNNNNNNNNNNNNNNNNNNNNNNNNNAUUGUUAAUUUACGUUUCUUGAUUUUACUGAAAAAUGUGUUUUCCUGAAUCUCAUUGUUUGGUUUUGAGAGUUGCUUGUAUGGCUAAAAAUUGAGAUAUUGGUUUUCUUGUGUCUCGCUGUAUAUUUCUUCCUCAGGUUUUGACGCUUAAUAACUCUUAAACUUUUUUGCCCCUAGAAAUAUUGAAGUAAUCGAUUCUCUUUAACCUUUUCCAUUACACUUCGUUUUAACAAUUGCUUCUGCUCCGAAAAGAUUGGAUUCGGUUUUCUGAAGUCCACAUUCUUUGAUUUAAUGAUUCUGAAUUCAUUGGGUUUUGUUGGCUGUCUGGGCUUUUCCGGGUUUUAUCAUCAUAUUGAGCAACAUGUGGCUAAAAAUAUUGACCAAGGUCAGGACUUUUGCGUCCUUUACAAGGAUCAUUCCUUGAUUCGGUUCGGUUUUAUUAGACAGUCAGAAUAAUGAGGGGAUUGUUAAUUUACGUUUCUUGAUUUUACUGAAAAAUGUGUUUUCCUGAAUCUCAUUGUUUGGUUUUGAGAGUUGCUUGUAUGGCUAAAAAUUGAGAUAUUGGUUUUCUUGUGUCUCGCUGUAUAUUUCUUCCUCAGGUUUUGACGCCUAAUAACUCUUAAACUUUUUUGCCCCUAGAAGUAUUGAAGUAAUCGAUUUUCUUUAACCUUUUCCAUUACACUUCGUUUCAACAAUUGUUUCUGCUAUGAAAAGAUUGGAUUCGGUUUUCUGAAGUCCACAUUCUUUGAUUUAAUGAUUCUGAAUUCAUUGGGUUUUGUUGGCUGUCUGGGCUUUUCCGGGUUUUAUCAUCAUAUUGAGCAACAUGUGGCUAAAAAUAUUGACCAAGGUCAGGACUUUUGCGUCCUUUACAAGGAUCAUUCCUUGAUUCGGUUCGGUUUUAUUAGACAGUCAGAAUAAUGAGGGGAUUGUUAAUUUACGUUUCUUGAUUUUACUGAAAAAUGUGUUUUCCUGAAUCUCAUUGUUUGGUUUUGAGAGUUGCUUGUAUGGCUAAAAAUUGAGAUAUUGGUUUUCUUGUGUCUCGCUGUAUAUUUCUUCCUCAGGUUUUGACGCCUAAUAACUCUUAAACUUUUUUGCCCCUAGAAGUAUUGAAGUAAUCGAUUUUCUUUAACCUUUUCCAUUACACUUCGUUUCAACAAUUGUUUCUGCUAUGAAAAGAUUGGAUUCGGUUUUCUGAAGUCCACAUUCUUUGAUUUAAUCAUUCCGAAUUCAUUGGAUUUUGUUGGCUGUCUAGGUUUUUCCCGGUUUUAUCAUCAUAUUGAGCAACAUUUGGGUAAAAAUAUUGACCAAGGUCAGGACUUUUGCAUCCUUUACAAGGAUCAUUCCUUGAUUCCGUUCGGUUUUGUUAGACAGUCAGAAUCAUGAAGGGAAUCUUUCUUGCAAUUUUGAUCAAUUACCGAUAUCCUGCUUCUUGGACAUAUAUCUGAUAUGAACAAGAACCUAUUUAUAAAAUCGUGGCUAUUUUUGUUCCAGGGUCCUCUUUGAAGUUUGAAAGCCAUCGGGCUUUAAUUGUAGUUCGCUACUUAGCUUAAUUGCUCACUGCAUCUGGUUUGGAUAGCAAAACUCAUUCCAUGCAAACCUUUUUGUUUUGGUCCCACUUAAAUUGAGUUCAUAUUGUCACAUGUCUUACAGCUCUUCCCAUUUGUUUAAUAGCUGGCACUGUAGCAAUAUCUGAAUGCUUAUGUGGAAAUAUUCUUUAUAAUGAUAGUUUAGUUUUAUAUUUGCAACUUCUUUUUUUCUUGGGCAGAUGUAACGUCACUAAAAUUUCUAGAUGUACAUGUCUUAUGUUGAGGAUAUGCAGGACUGAUUCAGGUUUAAAGAUGUAGUAUUGCUUGGUGCUAGGCUACAUGAUUUGUUUACUGAAGAAGAAGUUUGCGGUCUCUUAAUUUCUGUCUCAACAGAGUAUGAUAGCUAUUGCUUUCCCAUUUCUUGUUUUGCCCACUUGUUAUGCUAUGAAUGAGGCAUAUUAGUACAUUCCAUCUUUUUCGGUGUACAAUAAUCAUAUAUAUCCUCAUUGAUGUCAGGAUAAUGUUGCUCAUCCUUUUAACUUGUUGAUUAUACAUUUUCCAGUAGUGUUGGAUGUGAUAGUUAGACUACUGAUCACUGACUGAGAGAUCUUCGUUAUUUUGAAGGCUGGCCCGUCUUUUGCAUCUUGUACCAUCGGUUGUGUUGUUGAUGAAUUAUUGGUGCAGUAGUAACCUGCAUUAACCUUCAGUUGCAUAUGUUGCAUGAUACACUUUCACCAUUCUGAUUGUCAGUUUACAGUCUCCCGUAACAUCGUUUUUGUUUUCUUGUUGGGCUGAGUUAUUUCAUUUUAUGAUGCUAAUAAUCCAAAAAGAAUAAUUGGAACUACUAUAUAGAGUUUCUUCAUAAUAUUAUCUUUUUAUAUCAUAAAUGAAUUUUCUAGAAUUUCAGCCCAGCCCUAUUUCUUUCAAUUUUUUAAAAAGCAAAAGCGUGCUCAACAAGCAAUUCUCGUAAGAUUAGCUAAUUGCUUCUCAUUGAAACAAGGAAAUCUUUUGAAAAGUAAUGAAUUUCACUUUGAUUUAUGUGCAAUAUUUGGUUCCAAACUGGAACAUUGUAGACUGUCUUCUUACGGCAUGAUAAUUGGUUUGAUGUGGGGUUUUUUUGGAAUAUUGAAUUUGUUCUUGGACCAUUUGGUUCUUCCGUCGACUUGACAAUAUUGAAUGAUUUUCAAACUUUAUUUCAACUUGUCUAUUGAUUAAUGGAUUUAUUGGUAUUUAAUGGUAAGAAAUUAAUGAUUUGAUGUGCACCCUAGAUCAUUGUUUAAAAAGUGGUGUGAUCUUUGAUUUGUCUCUUUCUCUUUGAUUAUGUUCGAUUAUCCACUUAAGAAUAUGUUGAACAAUUCUUUUGAACUUUGUUUUAUAUGAUCUUUUAAUUAUUCGGUUCAUUCAUAUAUCAUCUUGAAUAGAACUGGUGAUUUGGUCAUCUUGAAUAGAACUGGUGAUUUGGCUGCCUGCUUCAUAGGAGUCCCUCCCGUCCCAUUUGCAUAAGGAUAAAGAUUGAAAGAAAAGGGUUUCUUGGUUCUUAUUCUAUGCUACUUUAUAUUUAAUUCAUCAGUUUGUGGAGAUAUAUUUGUGCUAAGAUUGAAACAUGGCGUUUCUUAGAUCCCAAUCUACAUUUCUUGAUUAUACGCCUCCUAAACCCUGAAAUUUGUUGGGUUUUCGGUAUGGGCGUGUGGUUUUCCCAGAUCCUGUUUGGAGCAACAUGUGGCUAAUAAUAUUGAGACAUUGGCUUUCUGGAUCUCCUUUACACAACAGUGAUUUUGAGCACUAGUUGUCUAAUUUUUCAGAAUUCCAUCAACUUGUGAAAUAAUAUGUAAUCCAAAGUUAAAAUUGCCAAGGGUUCAUCAGCCUGCGGGGUGAUGUGUAUUUUAACACUGAAAAAUCAGUUUUUCCAAACUUUACUUCGAAACUCUGCCAUUUAUUUGUUUAUUGAUUUCAGCAGUCCCCUUCGGUCUCCGUCAGGUUGGAUGUUUUCCUCCUUUCUCCCAAAGUAGGAUUGUCUUAGUCUUGGUUGUUGUUUUUUCUUUUCCAGGAUUCCACCAACUUGUGGAUAUAUGGGUGCUAAUCCUGAAAAAUUGUGAUUUCUUAGCUUCCUGUCUACAAUUUUGUGAUUAGCUGAUCACACUUUUUGUGAGAGUGUUGGAUGUGAUAUAUAGACCACAGAUUACUGAAGCUGAGAUCGUUGAUUUGUCAAAGGCUGGUCCAUUUUGAUAAGGGAUUUUCUUGAUUUUAUACAUCUAACAGAUUGAAAUAUUGCCUUUAAUCUUUAUCAUUACACUUCCUGAUAAUGUGAGUUUUGCGGGUUGCUUGUGUGGUUAAAAGAUUAGAUCAUCGGUUUUCUUAGGUCACAUGUACAUUUGAUCCUAUGGGUUUUUCCUUUUUUUAUGCAUCUGAAAAUAUGAAGGUAAGGUUUUCUUUGAUCCUCGUCAUUACACUUCCUCAUAAAUAUGAGUUUUGUGGGUUGUUUCUGUUUCUAAAGAUUAAAUAUUUGAUCUGUUUCUUUAUUGAUGCUUUCCAAAUCCUGAUUAUGUUUGUUUUCCGAGUGUUUGGAUUGUAUGGUUUUUCCAGGUUCUAUUAUCAUUUAGAGAAAACACGUGACUAAAAAUUAAAAAAUGGGAUUUAUUAGAUCUCGCCCUAAAAUUUGUCUUACACUUCCUUAUAGUGUUGUUGGGUUUUGAGGGUUGCAAAAUCAGUUGGUUUUCAUAGAUGUCGGUCUACAUUUCUUGACUUUUUGCCUUGUAAAUCCUGCAUAGAAACAUUAAAAAAUGGGAUUGUGAUUGAAUCCACUUCAAUAUUUUUCAUUGCAGUUUUGAGGGUUGCUUGUGUGUCCCAAAGAUUAAAAAUCAGUUUUUAGAGGUCUCCCUCUAAAUAGUUGUGGAUUUUGGGUUUUGGUUGAUUUGCAAGGUUCCCAUUAGCUUGUGAAGCAAUAUAUUCUCCAAGAUUGAAAAUUGCCUGGGAUUCCAUCAACUUGUGGAGCGAUAUGUGUUCUACGAUUGAAACAAGGAUUUUCCCGGAUAAUGUUUCUCAAUUAUGUGAUUUAGUUGACUCUUGAUGGUGGUAAAUUUUCUUAGUAUUGGUUGUGUUCUUUUUCCAGGACUCAACCAGCUUGUGGAGAUAUGAGUGCUAAUACUGAAAUAAUGGUUUUUCUUAAAUAACUAUCGACUAUUUUAUGGUUUAUUUGAUUAAUUCUUGAUAGUGAUGAAUUUUAAGCAUUGGCGUGUCCUUUUUUAGGAUUCCACCAGCUUGUGGAGAUGUGCCUGCGUAGAUUGAUAAAUGGGUUUUCUACACACUACAAAUUCUUAUGAUUUUAUAUUUCUAAAAAGUGGUGGAGUUAUCAGCUUGUUGAUCAAUAUGAUAAGGGAGCUUUGUUCGGUUUUUGUGAUCAAGGGGUUUGUAGACUAUCCUCUGUUCUUUCUGCUUUUUGGUUGUUUUUUCAAAUUCUUAUAAAAGGUGAAGAAUUUAAGUUGAUCUUUUUGUAUGUGUUUCCUUUAAAAUGGAUAAUAUAUGUAAGACUAGAAAUGCAUCCUUUUGCCGUACAGUAUUAUUUUUUCAUCCUGUUAAUGAUUAGAAUCAUAUAAUGCUGAGGACUCUUUGCCUUCUCGUUAAUAAUUAGAAUCAUAUAGGCUGAGGAAUUUUUGCCUUCUUUUCAGUCAUCCUUAAUUUCAUGCAGUCAUAUCAGACAUUAAAAUCAUGGGGGAGUUCUUUUCAACAAUUUUGAUCAAUUGGUAUUCUGUUUCUUAUACGUGUCUGAAUUGGAUAAGAACCUAUAUGUGGUGGCCAUCUUUCCUUUUUCUGCCCACUUGGGCUUUGUAUGAGGUGUUUUAGUACAUUUCAUUUUUGGUGGUGUCCAAUAAUGAUAUAGAUCCUUACUAAUUGUCAUUAAACAAUAGAAUGAUGCUGAUGGUCUUUUAACUUGCUGAUAAUAUACAUUUGCCAACAAUGUUGGAUGUGAUACAUAGACUACUGAUAACUGAUGCUGUGAUCUUUGUGACUUUGAAGGCUGGCCCGUGUUUUGCAUCUUGUAUUGUUGGUUGUGUUGUUGAUGAAUGGUGCAGUGGUAACUCACAUAAAUCUUCAGCUGUAAUUGUUCCAUGAUGCAACUUAUUAUGAUCUUCAGUUUACAGUAUCUCGUAACAUCAGCUUGUUAUCUUCUUAGACUGAGUUGUUGCAUUGCAUUAUGUUAGUGCUAUUCGGUUUUGAUUUAUUUGCAAGUUUUGGUUCCACAUCGGAAUAUUGUAGACUGACUUCUUAUGGUAGAAGAACUGGUUUGAUGUGGGAUUUAUUUUUUCAGAAUUUUGAAUUGGUUUCUUCUUCCCUUAUAUGAUUUGGAUCGUCUAUCAACUUGACAGUAUAUUGAAUGAUUUUUCAAACUUCAUUUCACCUUGUCUUUUGAUUAAUUUAGUGGUAUUUAAUGGUAAGAAAUUAAUUGAUUUAGUCAUCCUAGAGCGUGGUGUAAAAAGUGUUGUGAUCUUUGAAUUUGUUUCUUUCCCCCUUGAUGAUUUGGUUUGAUUAUCCAAUUUGAUAGUAUGUUGAACGAUUCUUUCCAACUUUUGUUUUAUAUGAUCUUCUAAUUUGGUGAUUUGGCUGCCUGCUUCCUAGGAGUCCCUCUUGGCCUAUUAGCAUAAGGAUAAAGAUUGAGAAAAAGAAAGGGAUUUUUCGGGUUUGUGUUCUGUGCUAUUUUAGUUUUGACGACUCAGUUUGUGAAGACAUAUUUGUGCUAAGAUUGAAAAAACGGCUUUUCUUAUAUCCCAAUCUACAUUUCUUGAUUAUAUGCCUUCUGAAUCCUGAACUUUUUGGAUUCUCGUGUGGCGAAAAGAUUUCAAAUUGGCUUGUUUUUUCUUAUAUCUUAGAUGCCAGUCUGCAUUUGUUGAUCUUUUGCCUCCUGAAUUCUAGCUAGAAUUUUCGAAUAUAAGUUUUGGUGAAUAUCACUUUUAAAUUAGUCAUACAGGUUUCGAAUAUAGUGUUGGUUCUUGAUGGUUUCUUGUGGUGCUGGUUCUUGAUGGUUUCUUGUGGAGCUGAAAGAUUGAGACGUCGGUUUUUGGGCCUUCCUUCCAUAACAGUGAUUGUGAGCAUCAGUUGUAUGACUUUUUGCCUUCAGGAUCAUUCUUAAUCUCACUCGGUGGCUGUUAAAAUCAUGAAAGAGUUCCUUCUCAGCAUCUGCUACUGAAAGACAUGUCUGAAUUGAGCAAGAACCUUUGCUUGAAUUGUGUUUCCUUUUCAGGUUUCAAGACAUGUCAAUACAUCUUGUUUGGAUUGCUUCACCAUCUUUCUUAAUAUUAUCUCAACUCUUUUUUCAUCUUACCCAAAUUUAGUUCAUUAUGUUACAUGUCUUGUAGCGCUGGGUUUAUCGGAUGUUUUAUAAGCAGCAGUACACUUGGUGGUUCUGUAUCUUUUUAUGUGGAAGUAGUCCUUGCAAUUGUAGCUCAGUUUUAUGUUUGCAGCCUUUGUUUUGGUUAAUGUGGCAAAACUGGUCACAUGCUCCCUAGGUUUCAAUGUUUCCUGUGGUGGAUAUGCGAGAGAAUUGUUCCAGGUUAGUGAUUUGGUAUUGUUUGUUGCUGGGCUACAUAAAUUCUAUGCUGAGGAGGAGGUUUUGCUAUGACAUUCACUGGUGCCAUUAAGCACUUGGUUCCAUGAGUGUUUGAUGUGAUAUAUAGAACCACAGAUCACUGAUGCUGAUACUUUAUAUGUCGAAGGCUGGUCCAGUUAGGCUGGUUCAGUUGUCAUACUUGGAUGGUAUGAGAUUAUGGAUGAGUUUGGAUUUGUUCUGCUGCGCACUUGGAUUGUGGGGGUUUCAUUUUCUGGUUAUGGACUCGAGUUUUUCUUCUUUUUGUUUUUCCUUUCUUAUUUCCUUGUGGACUAGAAACCUGAUAUGAUAUGAGUAUGAUGAUGAUAAGAAUAUCCUCUUUAUGAAUUAUGAUAAGAAAGAGUUGAAGAGUAUUGAUUUGUACCAGUAUGAUGAUGAUAAGAAAGAGUUCCUCAUUUAAAAUUGUUUUCUUAUUGGAUGGGCUCCCGUAUCCAAUGGUAUAUUAAUUGGCACUAGUAUGUUAAUUCAUGUUUCAGAAUUAUUAAUCCCAAUUAAUAGUAUUUUAC